Molecule: long non-coding RNA, 645 nt
Filed under: Homo sapiens (human)
Lineage: Eukaryota; Metazoa; Chordata; Mammalia; Primates; Hominidae
Description: HSALNT0321463
Source: RNAcentral
CAGGCACCGCACCCGGCGCUGCCGGCCCUCCUAACUCCCGGGUGAUGGGAACUAGGAAUUAGUUAAUGGGGGUCAGAAUCCCGGGGAAAGCAGUUAGCCCUGUGGUGCUGCCGGGCGUCUCUUGGCAAAGCCUCUUAGGGGUUGUAUCAAAUAGUAAACGAUUUUAAAAUGGAUUCAUUUGGUUAGGGGAGGAGAAUGGCGUGGAUGGAGAGAUGUGGACACCUCGUGAACAAGGAGGUAACAAGGAGGAUUGGAAGGCACAAAGUAAAGAAAAUGAAAAUUAGAAACUUGUGAAAAGGAGCAUUACCCAUUGCAGUUCUUCAAACUUCAGACUUCCUUCUGUCUUGGAAUUACUUGAAAACUAUCAUGAUUUCCACUUUGCUCUUUGAUGUUUGUGUUUUCAUAUUCUCCCUUUUUAAAGCAAAUUCCCAAAAUAUAAAAGCAUCAUUUGCCAGUUUCCUCCUCGACUAUUUUAGAACAGCUAAAUUUCAUGUGUUAGAAGUGCAGAAAUGAAAAUGAAAGAAGAAAAGAGAGACACUUUCAAUGUUUCUAGCACACAACACCUGCCUCUCACAUAUCUUUGGGUUUCUGUCUAUCAUGAACCUGCAGAAUCAGAACCUCAUAAAAAGUCUGACCAAGCAAAAA